Molecule: non-coding RNA, 1642 nt
Organism: Rattus norvegicus (Norway rat)
Lineage: Eukaryota; Metazoa; Chordata; Mammalia; Rodentia; Muridae
Source: RefSeq, a predicted model, not a curated record
AAUUCAGUGAAGGUCUGUGAGAGAGAGUUCAAGUGAGUUAGGCAGAAUUCUAUGCAGUUCCUGACGAUUACAUUACUUUACACAGCAAAAGGGACUUUACUAAUUAACUACAGUCAUUAAUUAGUUGUUUAAAGGUAGGGAGAUUGACUGACUGGGCAAGCAUAAGCAUUUCAGGCCUUUAAAAACAUACAGCCUUCUCUGCUGCUCCACAAGAAGACACCAGACAGAGCAGAGUCACAAGAAAGAGUCUUUACCUCUAUUCACUUGAAGAUGGGAAAGGCCACGUGUGAAGGACAUUAGCCACCAGUACCUGCCAAAAGCGAGUCCUGGCUGACAGCAGCAGGCAGGAGCAGCUAUUUGGGGGAUGUCAGAGAAGACAUAACGAUGCCCUUCUCACCGUCCACAGAAGCACAUUCCUAGUGGGAGCUAAACCCACAGACAAAGCCUGGCCUCAGACAUCACCAGACAGGACUAAGCUGGCCUUUAAAUCCCUCCCUAGAAUAUCGGGUCUGGGAUCGCGAAAGACAAUGUGCAGAAUGGUGGAGCUGUAACACAGGAACCCGGAAGUCACUGGCUACUAUGGCUUACUGGACGUGUGCUCAGGGAGAUAGGACAAAGAAUGAGCGGGGAAAAAAGAGAAAAAAAGAAAAGAAAAGAAAGAGAAAACCAGAAGCAGCCAUGUGAAGUAGGAGUGACUGCAAGACAGGAAGAGGGUUCUCCUGAUUUCCUUUAGAUCCAUGUGGGACCUAGAUGACUCUGUUCAUAGAUUUGGUGAAAAACCUCUGCGAAAACAUUAUUCACAUUGAAAAGAAACCUCAUUUCCAGAUUUGAAAUAGAGCAACAUUUCAAGGCUAGAACUGAAACUAUUAUUUUACAUUGGCAUUUUCCUCAAAUAUCCUUCACCUUAUAAAUAAAUAUAUAGCAGUAGGUAGAUCUCCGUCCUUCCUAUCAACAACCGGACAACCUGAGGUAGAACAAAGACAGAAUGAUCUUCUUCCACUGCUCUAAUGGCCUAGAGCAUCGCAGCAGAGAGCAUUUUCAUGUGUGGGUGUAGGCCUCAGUGGUGAUGGGAGGCCAUCACAAGACCUUACUAGUCAGCUUCUUCUGUAAGCCAUUGUAUACAGAAUAACUCCACAGGGAAACUUGGUCCUAUUGCUGGCUUAGAAUUUAACGAAUCUAGUAAAGUAUGAGGGAAAACAGGGGUCUGAUCUGACUUCCACAUUAAAGUUUUCAAUUACUUUAAGGCAGUGGUUCUCAAGCUGUGGGUUGUGGAGGUCAAAUAGCAGUCUCACAGAGGUCACCUCAGACCAUUGGAAAAUACAGAUAUUUAUAUUACAAUCCAUGAACAGUAGUAAAAUUACAGUCAUGAAGUAGCAAUGAAAAUAAUUUUAUGGUUGGGGGUCACAAAACAUGACGGACUGUAAUAAAGUGUUGAGAACCACUGCUGUAAGUGCACCAUGGACCUAAGAUAAUGAAAGAUGCUGAUUCUUAGGUUAAAUCUGAGCUGAAGCUGUUCAUUUGCUUUUAAUUCCAAAAUAUCUUACUUUACUUUGUCUUAAGUACAAAUCUAAUAUACAAAUUGUGUCAUUCCUAAAUGUGUAUGUACUCAUUUAAUAAAAUGAUUUUUCAUAUAAAAUCAUAA